UACGAAGGGGGCUAGCGUUGUUCGGAAUUACUGGGCGUAAAGGGCGCGUAGGCGGUGCCUCAAGUCAGGCGUGAAAGCCCCGGGCUCAACCUGGGAACCGCGCUUGAGACUGGAGUACUAGAGUUCGGGAGAGGAUGGUGGAAUUCCCAGUGUAGAGGUGAAAUUCGUAGAUAUUGGGAGGAAUACCGGCGGCGAAGGCGGCCUUCUGGACUAUUCCUGACACUGAGACGCGAAAGCGUGGGUAGCAAACAGG
RNAcentral lists this ribosomal RNA (253 nucleotides) under uncultured bacterium. Its description in RNAcentral is "partial 16S ribosomal RNA". It matches the Rfam family "Bacterial small subunit ribosomal RNA", at positions 524 to 776 of the family's 1533-position model. The record is from RNAcentral.